This 406-nucleotide ribosomal RNA is filed under the name uncultured bacterium. RNAcentral describes it as "partial 16S ribosomal RNA". It matches the Rfam family "Bacterial small subunit ribosomal RNA", at positions 30 to 526 of the family's 1533-position model. The record is from RNAcentral.
AUUGAACGCUGGCGGCAGGCCUAACACAUGCAAGUCGAACGAGUGGCGGACGUGUGCGUAAUGUCUGGGAAACUGCCUGAUGGAGGGGGAUAAUUACUGGCAACGGUAGAUAAUACCGCAUACCAUCAGAUGUGCCCAGAUGGGAUUAGCUUGUUGGUGGGGUAACGGCUCACCAAGCCGACGAUCCCUAGCUGGUCUGAGAGGGUGACCAGCCACACUGGAACUGAAACACGGUCCAGACUCCUACGGGAGGCAGCAGUGGGUAAUAGUGCACAAUGGGCUCAAGCCUGAUGCAGCCAUGCCGCGUGUAUGAAGAAGGCCUUCGGGUUGUAAAGUACUUUCAGCGGGGAGGCGUUACCCGCAGAAGAAGCACCGGCUAACUCCGUGCCAGCAGCCGCGGUAAUUC